This 501-nucleotide ribosomal RNA is filed under the name uncultured bacterium. Its description in RNAcentral is "bacterial SSU rRNA". It matches the Rfam family "Bacterial small subunit ribosomal RNA", at positions 8 to 526 of the family's 1533-position model. The record is from RNAcentral.
AGAGUUUGAUCAUGGCUCAGGACAAACGCUGGCGGCGUGCAUAAAACAUGCAAGUCGGACGAGCCAAUCCCCGCAAGGGGAAAGGCUAGUGGCGAACGGCUGAGUAACACGUAGGUGACCUGCCCUGAAGUGGGGGAUAACGACUCGAAAGAGUCGCUAAUACCGCAUGUGACCACCGAUUCGUUUUCGGUGCUCAAAGUCGUAAGACGCUUUAGGAGGGGCCUGCGGCGGAUUAGCUAGUUGGUGAGGUAAUGGCCCACCAAGGCUUCGAUCCGUAGCUGGUCUGAGAGGAUGGCCAGCCAGACUGGGACUGAGACACGGCCCAGACUCCUACGGGAGGCAGCAGUUAGGAAUUUUGCGCAAUGGGGGAAACCCUGACGCAGCCACGCCGCGUGCGGGAUGAAGGCCUUCGGGUCGUAAACCGCCUUUCUCGAGGAAGACACCCGACGGUACUCGAGGCAUAAGCAACGGCUAACUACGUGCCAGCAGCGGCGGUAAUAC